Molecule: ribosomal RNA, 1981 nt
Filed under: uncultured marine bacterium
Lineage: Bacteria
Description: bacterial SSU rRNA
Rfam family: Bacterial small subunit ribosomal RNA (bases 1-1448)
Source: RNAcentral
AACGUACGCUGGCGGCACGCCUAAUACAUGCAAGUCGAACGAAGUAGCAAUACUUAGUGGCAGACGGGUGAGUAACAUGUAGGUAUCUUCCCUUUGGUGAGGAAUAACACGAGGAAACUUGUGCUAAUACCUCAUAAGUCUUUACGGAGAAAGCUUUAUGCGCCGAUGGAUGAGCCUGCACUUGAUUAGUUUGUUGGUAGGGUAAUGGCCUACCAAGACUAUGAUCAAUAGCUGAUUUGAGAGGAUGAUCAGCCACAUUGGGACUGAGACACGGCCCAAACUCCUACGGGAGGCAGCAGUAGGGAAUCUUGCACAAUGGGGGAAACCCUGAUGCAGCGAUGCCGCGUGAGUGAAGAAGGCCUUUGGGUUGUAAAGCUCUUUCGUCGGGGAAGAAAAUGACUGUACCCGAAUAAGAAGGUCCGGCUAACUUCGUGCCAGCAGCCGCGGUAAUACGAAGGGACCUAGCGUAGUUCGGAAUUACUGGGCUUAAAGAGUUCGUAGGUGGUUAAAAAAGUUGGUGGUGAAAUCCCAGAGCUUAACUCUGGAACUGCCAUCAAAACUUUUUAGCUAGAGUAUGAUAGAGGAAAGCAGAAUUUCUAGUGUAGAGGUGAAAUUCGUAGAUAUUAGAAAGAAUACCAAUUGCGAAGGCAGCUUUCUGGAUCAUUACUGACACUGAGGAACGAAAGCAUGGGUAGCGAAGAGGAUUAGAUACCCUCGUAGUCCAUGCCGUAAACGAUGUGUGUUAGACGUUGGAAAUUUAUUUUCUGUGUCGCAGCGAAAGCAAUAAACACACCGCCUGGGGAGUACGACCGCAAGGUUAAAACUCAAAUGAAUUGACGGGGACCCGCACAAGUAGUGGAGCAUGUGGUUUAAUUCGAAGAUACGCGCAGAACCUUACCAACACUUGACAUGUUCGUCGCGACUUUAAGAGAUUAAAGUUUUCGGUUCGGCCGGACGAAACACAGGUGCUGCAUGGCUGUCGUCAGCUCGUGUCGUGAGAUGUUGGGUUAAGUCCCGCAACGAGCGCAACCCUCACUUUUAGUUGCCAUCAUUUAGUUGGGCACUCUGAAAGAACUGCCAGUGAUAAGCUGGAGGAAGGUGGGGAUGACGUCAAGUCCUCAUGGCCCUUACGUGUUGGGCUACACACGUGCUGCAAUGGCAUUUACAAUAGGAAGCAAGACGGCGACGUUAAGCAAAUCCUAAAAAAAUGCCUCAGUUCGGAUUGUACUCUGCAACUCGAGUACAUGAAGCUGGAAUUACUAGUAAUCGCGGAUCAGCGCGCCGCGGUGAAUACGUUCCCGGGUCUUGUACACACCGCCCGUCACACCAUGGGAGUUGGUUCUACCUUAAGGCAAGGUUUAAUACCUUUGACCACGGUAUAGUCAGCUACUGGGGUGAAGUCGUAACAAGGUAGCCGUAGGGGAACCUGCGGCUGGAUUACCUCCUUUCUAAGGAUGAAUAAAAUUUUAUAAUUUUAUUCUAAAUAUUUAACAGGUUAAUGUUGACCGUCCGCACUUCUCUUUUUAAUUUUUGUGUUUCUCUUAAAAACAAUGAGGGCCGGUAGCUCAGUUGGUUAGAGCACACCCUUGAUAAGGGUGGGGUCGAAAGUUCGAGUCUUUCUCGGCCCACCAAAUAUAUCUGGGGGAUUAGCUCAGCUGGGAGAGCGCCUGAUUUGCAUUCAGGAGGUCAGCGGUUCGAUCCCGCUAUCCUCCACCAUGAAACACUUAGCUAUUAUAACUGUGAAUAUUUUAAUAAUUAUUAUCAAUAUCUAUAUCCGAUUGUUCGAAUAGAUGAACAAUCAUGAAUGUUCGAAUAGAUGAACAUUCCAACAAAAUUUGAUUCAAACACAGAAUUUUUUUCUGUGCAUAAAUCAAGCGUUUAAGGGCGUGUGGCGGAUGCCUUGGCACUAAAAGACGACGAAGGACGUGGUAUACUGCGAUAAGUUUCGGGGAGCUGUAUGCAAGUUUUGAUCCGAAAAUAU